RNAcentral lists this long non-coding RNA (828 nucleotides) under Nicotiana benthamiana. RNAcentral describes it as "long non-coding RNA (NBEN_LNC017344)". Lineage: Eukaryota; Viridiplantae; Streptophyta; Magnoliopsida; Solanales; Solanaceae. The record is from RNAcentral.
AUAUUUGAAGAUGUUGUAAAUGGUUUCUAAUUCGCGGGGUACCUCUAACAUUACAAGUGUAUACUAUGUCUGUCAAAAGGGCUUCAUUGCAACAAAAUGUCUUGUUGAAGAUUCUUGAAUUCCUUUACAGCCAGAUAGUAUAUGCAAACUCAGCGACUACCAUUUUGAAGAUGACUGCUCGGCAUGUUCGACCCUUGGCUUUGCUUACAAGCCACUGCAUUUUCUGGUUCUAGGCAGUGAUGUGAGGAUAAGUCUCCUUCAGCCAGUGCAUUGUUUUCUCCCAUAAUUCAACUGUGACUGGGCAGAAUAGUAGGCAGUGAUGUGAGGAUAAGGCUCCUUCAGCCAGUGCAUUGUUUUCUCCCAUAAUUCAACUGUGACUGGGCAGAAUAGUAGCAAAUGGUCCCUGGUCUCUGGAUGGUUUUGGCAUAACUUACAUUGUAACGUAAUCUUCUUUGAUCAAUCACAAUGGAAAGAAUCAUUCCUUUACUAACGUGAAGUAAAAAAAAUAUGCUAGGAAUUUCAUUUUUGGUACUCAAACCAUUCAAAUCAGUAAUAAAUCCUAGUAUAGUAAAAAUUCUACCAUACUCAUCUCUCCAGAUUCAGACUAAAACAACAUUAGCAAUAUAAAAGGAAUAAUAGCCAAAAUAAAUUUCUAUUUAGGGGACAAAGCCAACUUCCAAGUUUAAAGGCACAGUCAGUUGAUGGCAUAAUACCAAACAAUGAUAAGAACUGUUAAAUCCCACGGAGAAACAAAUAAUUAUCAUUGCCUUAGCAUUAUAAGCAUGUUCUCAUUGAAUCAAAAGGAGAAUUACAUGUCCGGGAAAAGAA